This 253-nucleotide ribosomal RNA is filed under the name uncultured bacterium. Its description in RNAcentral is "partial 16S ribosomal RNA". It matches the Rfam family "Bacterial small subunit ribosomal RNA", at positions 524 to 776 of the family's 1533-position model. The record is from RNAcentral.
UACAGAGGGGGCAAGCGUUGUUCGGAAUUACUGGGCGUAAAGUGUGCGCAGGCGGCUUCGCAAGUCGAGUGUGAAAUCCCCGAGCUUAACUUGGGAAUUGCGCUCGAAACUACGGAGCUGGAGUGUGGCAGAGGAAGGUGGAAUUCCACGUGUAGCGGUGAAAUGCGCAGAUAUCAGGAAGAACACCCGUGGCUAAGGCGGUUCUCUAGUACGGUACUGACGCUGAGACGCGAAAGCGUGGGGAGCGAACAGG